Molecule: ribosomal RNA, 253 nt
Filed under: uncultured bacterium
Lineage: Bacteria
Description: partial 16S ribosomal RNA
Rfam family: Bacterial small subunit ribosomal RNA
Source: RNAcentral
UACGUAGGUGGCAAGCGUUAUCCGGAAUUAUUGGGCGUAAAGAGCUCGUAGGCGGCUUGUUGCGUCGGCUGUGAAAUCCCGUGGCUUAACUGCGGGCUUGCAGCUGAUACGGGCGGGCUGGAGUUCGGUAGGGGAGACUGGAAUUCCUGGUGUAGCGGUGAAGUGCGCAGAUAUCUGGAGGAACACCGGUGGCGAAGGCGGCAUCCUGGACCGAUACUGACGCUGAGGAGCGAAAGCCAGGGGAGCAAACGGG